Camelina sativa (false flax) is the source of this 2261-nucleotide long non-coding RNA. RefSeq lists it as uncharacterized. Lineage: Eukaryota; Viridiplantae; Streptophyta; Magnoliopsida; Brassicales; Brassicaceae. The record is from RefSeq and is a predicted model, not a curated record.
UUCUUGGACGCUAUCUUUAAGUGUUGGACUUCAUUGAACACUUUUUCAUAACAUAUAUUAAUAUAAACAAGAGUGAGUACACACGACAAGAAAGUUAGUUGUAUAUAAAAGGAAAGUUGAGUAUUCAGAUUUCAAAGCAAGGAAACAAGAAGAGAGGAGAAGAGGAAGGGGAAAAUGGCUGCCUUAUCAGAGAACGAGGCUAAAGCUUAUCUCGACGCAAGGCCUAGAUAUCCCAUCGAUUGGUACAAGAAGAUUGCCGCACGGUCACAAAUUUGCUUGGGAUAUAUAUGUCGGAACUGGCAACGGUCAGGCGGUAAUUAUCAGCUUUCUAAUUCUGCAUUCUUAUGUCUUAGGCUCUUAGCAUCUGGAAAAAAAAUCUAAAAACCUUCCUUUACUUGUAAGAACUAGUUAGUAUGAUUUGUGUGAUACGGCGAUUAUGCUAAUAAAUCCAGCAACAAGAUUACGGAGUACUAAUUAAUUUACUUAAUUAGGAUGGCUCUUUUGUUUCAUAUAGGAUUAUUAUUCUAUAGAUAAGUCAAAUUUGGUGGCGGCAUAUUGAUCUUUGUUAUUCACCCUACAGACUAAUAAACACCAAAAGCUAAUCAUACAAUCAAAGUAGGAAAAAACACUUACUUAUGAUUAAUAAUCUAAUCUAAUUUGUGUUGAAAACUCCAAGAAGAAAAAAGAUACUAGCUUGGACUAGGUUUGUCGAUGGUGAUACAAAUUAUUUUAAAUUGAUUAUUUUUUUACGUUCACAAGUAUUUUUUAAACAGAUUUAUUAAUUCUAUAAAUAUAAUUUAAUUGGUGGUGGUCUUUUGGAUUUAUGGGUGUAUACAUCCAAUAGUUGGUCUAAGAGUCAAACUGAAAUUCAUAAUUCAUAUUGGGAAAAAUACUACUCCUGGAAAAUGUUGUUUGGUGGACCAUAUCGAUGCAAAGGAACCACCAUUGAUGGUAAUAGUAUUAUUUUUGUGCAAGGAGUUUCCAAUUCUCAAACAGUCAACCUCCUCUAUUACCGUAUGGAAGACCAGACACACAUUUCAAUGAAUAUCAUACAUCAGUCCUCGAAGAAAGGGCCAGUUCACACUUAUGUGAAUUUGGUUGAAGAUCGGAUCUUACUACUUGAAAGAUGCGCUACUGUCCCUUAUCUACUUUCUGCAUGCGGACUACACCGCUGCAAAGGAUAACGUAUGAUGAACUGGGAAAUGGAAGUGCAUUAUGUUGAUGCUGCGACUGCUUAUAACAGGCACCACCAACCUUGCUUAGAGCGUGUAAUAAGCUCAGCGGAAUCACCAACAAACUUUAGCCAACCGUUGCUUGGCAGUUGGCACAGACUCCAUUUGAGGCUAAAGGUUAAACUGUUUUGAAACCUUGUCUUCUUAAAUCAUGGAUGAUAUCUCUAGGAUUUUGAAGCGUCUCUCCACACGUACAUCCUCAUGUGAUAACUUCCACAUCCACACGUACAUCCUCAUAUAUAUAUGGCCAAGUGAUUGUAGAGAAAAACGAGUUACUUUGACAAAUGCUGAAUGUUUUUUACACAUUAAUUAGUUUGGUUAUUACAUGUUUCUUUUCCAUAUAUAUAUAUAUAUAUAUAUGUGUGGAAUAUGUAUUUGGAAUAUUUAUUCACAAACUGGAAAAACAUAAUUUUGCAGAGAGUUUAUCAGAUUCAUUCAAAUCUCAAGUUAUUUUAUGUGUCCUUUUAUCCUCUAUAGUCUAUAGUAUAACUUCCACGUCCACUUUUCAUUCACUUCCUUUUCUGCUGCUUUCUCUUCGAUGGCAUUGUAUCGAACACCUGGUGGGGGUGUACAUUUCCAACUUAGCAUCUAAGCUUCGGUCAACACCUCUUCACAUACAAUUCCUGUAUUCUCAAUCCCGUACCUAACGAGGAUCUUCAUUCGCCCGUUGCAUCAUCUCAAAGCUAUCAACCAACUUCUAUUAAUCGACAAUGUACUCUGCCAGAAUCAUCUGCGGCUUCCACCUGAAUCGGAGCAUCACGAAGAGUGUGUUGAUAAUCCCUCUCGAGCUUUUUGAGUCGCUUCUCUGCUUUGGAAACUGACAACAUGUGCACAACCGGAUCAGCAUCAGGUGACACCUUGUCAUGGAAUGGAGAAAUCAUAGCUUGAAUGAAGCAACCUAUCACAAUUGAUUAUCCAAACUCGUGCACCCCACGCCAAGUGGUUCUCUUCCUCUUUGUGAUGCUUCUUCUGUAUUCAGCUUGUCAAGAACAUUCUGCAGUUGCUCCACUAAGCGUUCGCUGUCAUUAA